GACGAACGCUGGCGGCGUGCUUAACACAUGCAAGUCGAACGGAAAGGCCCCUUUGGGGGUACUCGAGUGGCGAACGGGUGAGUAACACGCGAGUAACCUGCCCUUGACUUCGGGAUAACUUCAGGAAACUGGGGCUAAUACCGGAUAGGAAUCCUUGCUGCAUGGUGGGGGUUGGAAAGCUUCGGCGGUUUUGGAUGGACUCGCGGCUUAUCAGCUUGUUGGUGGGGUAGUGGCUUACCAAGGCUUUGACGGGUAGCCGGCCUGAGAGGGCGACCGGCCACAUUGGGACUGAGAUACGGCCCAGACUCCUACGGGAGGCAGCAGGGGGGAAUAUUGCACAAUGGGCGGAAGCCUGAUGCAGCAACGCCGCGUGCGGGAUGACGGCCUUCGGGUUGUAAACCGCUUUCAGCAGGGGCGAAGCUUGUGGUGACGGUACCUGCAGAAGAAGCACCGGCUAACUACGUG
This 465-nucleotide ribosomal RNA is filed under the name uncultured bacterium. RNAcentral's name for it is "partial 16S ribosomal RNA". It matches the Rfam family "Bacterial small subunit ribosomal RNA", at positions 28 to 507 of the family's 1533-position model. The record is from RNAcentral.